RNAcentral lists this long non-coding RNA (3404 nucleotides) under Canis lupus familiaris (dog). Its description in RNAcentral is "lncRNA (ENSCAFG00000050064.2)". The record is from RNAcentral. Lineage: Eukaryota; Metazoa; Chordata; Mammalia; Carnivora; Canidae.
UUCCGCGCGUGCCUGGCCCUUGGCCGCGCCGGCGCCUCGGAUUGGCCGCGUCCGGGUCACGUGGCCACGCCGCGGCCGCGCCCCCGCCCCGCCGCCCCGUCCGGCUGGCGGCGCCCCGCCUUGGUGGUCUCGCUGUCGCCGCGCGGCGGGGGCGGGGGCGGGGGCGCGGCGUGGAGGGCAGCGCGGGAGGGCAGUCAGCGGGCCCUCUCCCUCCAGAGGUGCAGCCUGCGCUGCUGCCGCCGCCUCCUGCCCCGCCGUCCUCCUCGCGGACGGAACGACCGGGGCGAGGUCAGCGCGUCCGUGGCCCGAGCGUCGGCCUCACUGAGAGCAAGAGCCGGGGCCACCAGGGUCCGAGCCCUCCUCCCCGCACUCACUCCCCUGCCCUCCCGCCCCAGGAGGAGCCCCGGGACGGAGAGGGGCCUCGGCCGACGGACUGCAGCCCCUGCAGCUGGCGCCACGAGCUCCAGACGCUAUCCCUGGGGAGCACCCAGGUUCCCUGCAGACCUGAGGGGUAUGGUCCACAAAGAGCCACCCACCUGUUAGCCACAUCCUUCCGGGUGGGAAGCACACUUCUCUGGGACUAGGGGUAGGAGGAGGAGGUUGGGAGUGCCCUUCCUUCCUCUUUCACCACACCCUCCUGCUGCUCCAAAUCAACCAGCACUUACUAAAUGGGCGUCUUAAACAAGUGGCCGAUUCCAGGGCCAGGACAGGGAAAAGGCAAUGAGCUUGGCUCCUCCUGUGUCGCUAGGAAGGAAGGAGGUGCUCACAAAAUGAAGUUGGGUUGUACAGGGACUCCGCCAACCUGAAGGAGCUCCUAGGGACUAAAGCUGGAAGAAUAUGAGCAGCGAAGUAAAUAAUAUGGAAUUGUAACUCAGAGAGUAACAUAAAUACCCAAGAGUCCAUAGUGAUAAAGAGUAAACAAGUGAGAGGCAGAAGACAGCUCCCUCCUACAGAAAUACCACAGUUAAUAACUGUAGUAGGAAUGAGAGAAAUGUAAAAACCACCUUAGGCAAACACCAGCAUAAUUGUUGGGAGCAAGAUCUAUUUGAUGCAGAGAUUAGAGGGCAAAAGUUUUGAGACAGAUUAUUGUAUUGCUUCAAAUCUCUCCCCCAAGAUAUUUAUUAACAGGGACAAAUAGUAACUUCGUAGUAGAGAAACUUGACCAACACACUUCAACCAGGGAAUCAAAGUAUAAGACAAAACGACAGUGUAUAUCCCUGAUGUGAUAAUGCAUCGAGAAAGACAACAGCACUCCUGUGGUUUUCUUGCCAAAAAUGCAUAACCUCAAUCAAAUAAUGGAAAAACUUCAGAGAAAUCCCAGUGAGGACAUGGUGCAACGUACCUGAGUACUCUUCAAGAGGGCCAAGCUCCUGAAAGAUGAAUCCUGAGGAGCUGUCCCAGAUCGGAGGUGUCGAUAAGAAUGACAACUAAAUGCAACGUGGGGUUCCAGAUUGGCUUGGACUAGGAAAAGUGCGGUAGUGGAAAAACAAGUAAUCUGAAUAAAGUCUGUAGUUUAGUUAACAAUAUUUGUGUUUUCCCAAAACUUCUAAUCCCCAGUGAGAUGGUAUUUGGAGAUGAGACCUUCAGGAAGUGCUUAGGUCAUGAAAAUGGAGCCCUCAUGAAUGGGCUCAGUCCCCUUGUAAAAGAGCUGAGAGAAGACAGCUGUCUAUGAACCAACAAGGGGCUUUUGCCAGGCACCAGACCUGCGAAUGCCUUGGUUUUGGACUUCAGCCUCCAGAACUGUGAAACAUAAAUUGUUUUUUAAGCACCCAGCCUGUGUUGUUUUGUUGUAGCAGCCUGAGCAGACUAAGUCAGCCCUGUACCAGAAUGAAUUACCUGGAUUUGAUAUGGGUACCAUAGAUAUAUAAGACAUUAACCUUAGGAGAAACUGGGCAAAGAACAUUUGGGAACUCUGUGCUUUUGGGCGGAGGGGCAGUGAAAUACAGGUGGACUAGGGUAAAUUCAUCCCUCUUCUGGACCAAGUGAGCAAAGGAUAUUCAACAUUGGGCUGCCCUUGUGUUCCAGAAAGGGACAAACUGAUGAGAAACACAGGCAGAUGUGCUUUUAUGAGCACACCGCUGCCCAGUGUGUCUCUACUGGCUUGGCAGGUACAGAUGUCCCAAGUAGGAACAAACUUGGCAAAUUGGGGAAUGGCAAGGAGGCCAGACGGACAGGAGGUAUAAGCCUGCAUAGAUAGCAAGCAUCAGAUGUUGGGGCCACAACGGGUGAGGUUAGAGAAGAUAUUUUCACUCGUUCACAUCUCCUUCCAUCUCCAUUUAGUACAAUUUUAUUAUCUUACUGGGUUUUUCUCAGUUACCUGUAUAGUGUUAUAUAGUGUUUUGCCCUUAAACCUUUGUAGAUUGUCCAGCGGCGUGGGACAGCAUCUGUCCUGACACAGAAGAUAGGGAUCCUAUCUUUCCUCUACCUCCCCUGCUUCCACCUACUACCCAAGUCAGAUCACGUAGACUUUACUUGUACAUGAUCAAAGUUGCUUGACAACAGAUUGAAAAUACUUUUUUCAUGCUUCAUUCCUAUAUUGAGUCCCAAAGCUAGAAAUCCAUCAGCAGUUUUUAUGGCUGGAUGCAUUUUAUCUGGCAUUUCCUUCUCGCUAUGCUCUGUGGCCUUAAAAUGUUGAUACUACAUGAAUUGCCCAAGAUAAUGCCACAGUUUGGUUUGCUUCGUAUUUGGACCACAACUUGUGUUUACAGUUUUUCAUUUUGUUUAUUGAGUUUCUAAGUGCCUUUAUUUUUCCCCAUUGAUCAAAGACUGUGUACCUUCACCAUAUCCUCACAUUGACACAGCCUCUCAUUCUAAAUCUUGCCCCAGAUGCCCACCUCUUCCCCUGGAGCUGUAUGUUCCAGAGCCCUCCAGCCUCUUUGUUGUUCAGGCCUGCUGCCCAGCUGUCACUGUGGACAUCACCCCACAGGCCUCCAGACUGGCCCUGUACUCACCUGGUCCCAUGCUUUCCCCGUUCUUGGUGUUCUUUGUUCUCUGAAGUGUUACAAUCAUGACCUCAGAAAGGUAAUGUCUUUGCAUUACCAAAAACGCCUUUGAUUUGCCCUCACAGCCAGAUGUAGACUUCUAGAAUUUGCCCCCAGAAUUGUGAUGUCAGUGUCUUGCUGUUACAGUUUGAUAAUCCUUUGUAGGAGUCAUGAGUUUUACUUCUGGAUGCUUCCUUCUUUUCCCUAAUAUUCUGAAAUUUCACAAGAACAAGUGUAGAUGGGAUCUUUCCUUCAUUCACUCUACUCAGUGCAAGAGGGGUCCAUUCUCUUAAUUUCCUCUGUUCUCUGGUCCUAGAACUUCUGUGCUUGAUGUUGAAUUGAUCCCCACUACCAUCAUUUCUCAUUUAUUAUAUUCUUCCUCCUUUUCUUUUUGGGUCAUUUUUUCUAUGUCCUGAGCUAGAU